AUUGAACGCUGGCGGAAUGCUUUACACAUGCAAGUCGAACGGCAGCACGGACUUCGGUCUGGUGGCGAGUGGCGAACGGGUGAGUAAUGUAUCGGAACGUGCCCAGUCGUGGGGGAUAACGUAGUGAAAAUUACGCUAAUACCGCAUACGAUCUAUGGAUGAAAGCGGGGGAUCGCAAGACCUCGCGCGCAUGGAGCGGCCGAUAUCAGAUUAGGUAGUUGGUGGGGUAAAGGCCCACCAAGCCAACGAUCUGUAGCUGGUCUGAGAGGACGACCAGCCACACUGGAACUGAGACACGGUCCAGACUCCUACGGGAGGCAGCAGUGGGGAAUUUUGGACAAUGGGCGAAAGCCUGAUCCAGCCAUUCCGCGUGCAGGAUAAAGGCCCUCGGGUUGUAAACUGCUUUUGUACAGAACGAAAAGGUUUCUACUAAUACUAGGAGCUCAUGACGGUACUGUAAGAAUAAGCACCGGCUAACUACGUGCCAGCAGCCGCGGUAA
RNAcentral lists this ribosomal RNA (500 nucleotides) under uncultured bacterium. Its description in RNAcentral is "partial 16S ribosomal RNA". It matches the Rfam family "Bacterial small subunit ribosomal RNA", at positions 30 to 523 of the family's 1533-position model. The record is from RNAcentral.